CAUGAUCUGCAUCUUUGUCUUCUCGUGUCUUGCAGGUCUCAGUUUGGGGCUUGAGGUCCAUCAGUCCCACUCUGAUCUCAUCAAAACGACUGGUGACAAAGUUCACAUUUUCUGCACCCACCAAAAAACCGACUACAGACAGAUUCUCUGGUACCAACGGAGACCCACAGACACGGCCAUGAAGCUCAUCGGAUAUUUGUACUUCAAAGAUCCGACUAUGGAAGACGAAUAUAAAAAGGACUUUGGGAUCUCUGGAAAUCUGGGAGGGGAUACGGCGAAGAACGGAUCCCUGACGAUCCAAACCGUGAAACAGAAUCACACUGCCGUUUACUACUGUGCUGCAAGAGAAGCACAAUGACAGAAAUGCUCUCUGCACCUCAACAAAAACUGUGCUGUGUUUUUAUAUCAUCGGUGGUU
Molecule: non-coding RNA, 417 nt
Organism: Gambusia affinis (western mosquitofish)
Lineage: Eukaryota; Metazoa; Chordata; Actinopteri; Cyprinodontiformes; Poeciliidae
Source: the annotation of a RefSeq genome assembly